GUUUAUGUCUUGAAGCUGCAGUGCAUGGCCCCCAGAGGGCUCUUCAUCCUGUUAAGACAACACCAGUUUCCUGAAUGCCUGUGUCAGCUUUUUGGUGACAAGAAAGGAUGAAUAAGACACGAGUAUGGCUUAAAGUGCAGCGAGAGACAGAAUAGUAAAUUUACGAAGCCAGAAAUGAAAAGCAGAAAGCGAAGACGAUAUAGGAAUUUACCAGCUAGACAGAAGAGACAGGGAAAGAAACUGGCAUUGAUCAUACUGAAUGUCAUCACAAAGGAGGUUUGAGAUACUGCUUUUUCCUCCCUGUGAAGUCCUGAGUCCGUGGAAAGGCCGAGGGGAGAAACGUCGGCAGCAACGUGGCAGCUCUAUUAGUGAUGGAAACUGGAUUGGGAAAUACAGUAUCACAUCUGUAACCUAGAGGUUUUACCAACAAUAUUUUGGCCUAGAAUUCAGCCUAGCACAUUCAAUGUACUGUGCCUACCCCACUCCGGCAGAGUGGGACAGUUGAAUCUUCCCGGAAAGGAAGAAGUUGUGGUUGCCCGGUGGAAAGCAGAUCACAGUGGAUACUUCCUGCAGUCAGUCAAGCUUCUGGAGGUAGAGGAUCAGGGAGGAGCUAAGAAAAGCAGCAGUCAAGAUGAACUAAGCCCCUUAUCCCCAACCCACAAGAUUCCAAUGAGAAGUGGUGAGGUCCUGGUAUGA
RNAcentral lists this long non-coding RNA (696 nucleotides) under Rhinopithecus bieti (black snub-nosed monkey). RNAcentral's name for it is "lncRNA (ENSRBIG00000045189.1)". Lineage: Eukaryota; Metazoa; Chordata; Mammalia; Primates; Cercopithecidae. The record is from RNAcentral.